Molecule: ribosomal RNA, 253 nt
Filed under: uncultured bacterium
Lineage: Bacteria
Description: partial 16S ribosomal RNA
Rfam family: Bacterial small subunit ribosomal RNA
Source: RNAcentral
UACGUAGGGCGCGAGCGUUAUCCGGAAUUAUUGGGCGUAAAGAGCUCGUAGGCGGUCUGUCACGUCUGCUGUGAAAACUGGAGGCUCAACCUCCAGCCUGCAGUGGGUACGGGCAGACUAGAGUGCGGUAGGGGAGAUUGGAAUUCCUGGUGUAGCGGUGGAAUGCGCAGAUAUCAGGAGGAACACCGGUGGCGAAGGCGGGUCUCUGGGCCGAUACUGACGCUGAGGAGCGAAAGCGUGGGGAGCGAACGGG